GACAAAGUGAGGAAGGCAUUCCAGGCAGUCAACAGCAGGCAUGAUACUCCAGAGUGAGAGAGCCUCAAGUGUCCUGGGGUGCAGUCAUGAUUAACCUUGAACAAGGAGAGGUUUGGCCCUUAUCCCCAGCUCCCAGGAGGCAACCUCUAAGCCCUUGGAAUUGCCUCCUUGAUAAGAGUGCGUUUAUUUACCUGGGGGCCUUGGGCCCCACCAGAUAGUCUCUGCUAACAAUGUGACCUAUGGGGGGCCCUUGGACCAAGUGGUAUCAGCUUGACUUCUGCAGGGGCUGGAAACCAGGAUCAGCCAACUUGGCGGCCAGCCAUGUCUGGGUGACCAGCCCCCAGUAGAAACCUUGGACACCAAGGCUCAGGUGAUGCCAAGGUACAAAAUCAGGUUUUCAGACACUUAAUACCUAGUUAGCAAUAACAACUGAUUCCAAUGGGAAGAUACCAGAUGGUGCUUCGCCUUGUUAAUAACACCUGCUAGCAAGCCACAUCUUGAAUGACAAAGCUGAUUUGGGGGCCAAGUUUGGUGCUGUUUGCUCCAGGGGCCUGAGCUGCAGGUCAGGACCUGCUCACAUGGCCUUUCCCUGUCACCAGCAGCUCACACUGGCUGACAGGACUCCCUCCAGGCCAGACGCCUCCAGCCCUCACUGUGCAGUCAGGAAGCUUUUCUUCCCCUUUUCUAAGGGCUGUGGUCUCCCAAAGGCGCCCAGCUGGUG
This 721-nucleotide long non-coding RNA is filed under the name Pongo abelii (Sumatran orangutan). RNAcentral describes it as "lincRNA". The record is from RNAcentral. Lineage: Eukaryota; Metazoa; Chordata; Mammalia; Primates; Hominidae.